RNAcentral lists this long non-coding RNA (921 nucleotides) under Triticum aestivum (bread wheat). Its description in RNAcentral is "long non-coding RNA (TAES_LNC002989)". The record is from RNAcentral. Lineage: Eukaryota; Viridiplantae; Streptophyta; Magnoliopsida; Poales; Poaceae.
UCUGCCUCUGGUGUGCAGCAAGUUGAUGGUUCUGUCUCUGUAUUAUUGUGGAGAUUGGCCAAGUGUUAGUCGAUCUGCAAGCCGGUUUAAGAGCUUGAUUGGACGGUCCAAUUCAACACGGAGCUGAGUGUCUGUUGAAACUUUUCAUCCAUCAAGCGCCGCUUCCAAUUCAACACGGAGCUGAGUGUCUGUUGAAACUUUUCAUCCAUCAAGCGCCGCCUCCGGCCGCCCCGACGACGCCCUCGCCUCCAACCGCCCCGAUGACGCCCUCGCUUCUGCAUUUGGUCCUGAUGUAUUCCUUUGACUAAUGAAUCUAGCAGCAUCAAAGUCCAGAAUAUCCAAAAUGCCUUGGCUUGCUGAACCCUUGUGCUGGUUAGAAAUGCAGAAUUGUGAUAUUGUGCUGGGAGCACUCUUGUUACAGUCAUAAGUUAGAUUUCAGCUUUGCAUCUUUUCAGGUUUAACUGUUGGUUUACAUUGAAAUUGUUAAGCAAGUACCAAAUUGAGUGCAUAGUGUGCAAUUUGUAUUUAGUAAUCUAGUAGCUCAUAAGCAUCAGACCAUAUGUUUUCUUAUAAGCACACUAAAUUGAUGGUUGAAAGAUUUUAUAUGCUUCUGAUGCAUGAUUCUUCUAAUGCUAGGUGAUUUGUUUCUUGGAAUUUGGAAGAGGAAGAAGAUGAAGCGUGGUGGUUAUCUAUCAAUAUGCCUUGUGUUCUAGUUGUACUUCAUAGGUAGUUACAUUGUAUUCUGUAUUGGUCUGGUUGUAUGAACACUAUGUAAAGAUUGUAAUAGGCUAAUUUUGGACGGUAUAUAGUUCUGUUUCAUUUGAAAUAUUUGUCAUUUGUGUACUGUGAAAAUGUGAGAAAUAGAAAGUUGAUGAGUUGGACUUAUUGGUAGAGGCCAAGGCCCAAAACGUAAAUAGCCUG